UACGUAGGUGGCAAGCGUUGUCCGGAAUUAUUGGGCGUAAAGCGCGCGCAGGCGGCCUUUUAAGUCUGAUGUGAAAGCCCACGGCUCAACCGUGGAAGGUCAUUGGAAACUGAAAGGCUUGAGUACAGAAGAGGAAAGCGGAAUUCCACGUGUAGCGGUGAAAUUCGUAGAUAUUGGGAAGAACACCGGUGGCGAAGGCGGCUCUCUGGACCGAUACUGACGCUGAGGCGCGAAAGCGUGGGGAGCAAACAGG
This 253-nucleotide ribosomal RNA is filed under the name uncultured bacterium. RNAcentral describes it as "partial 16S ribosomal RNA". It matches the Rfam family "Bacterial small subunit ribosomal RNA", at positions 524 to 776 of the family's 1533-position model. The record is from RNAcentral.